RNAcentral lists this small nucleolar RNA (49 nucleotides) under Pyrobaculum calidifontis JCM 11548. RNAcentral describes it as "PCAsR47". Lineage: Archaea; Thermoproteati; Thermoproteota; Thermoprotei; Thermoproteales; Thermoproteaceae. The record is from RNAcentral.
GUGAUUGAGAGGUUUCCGGAGCGAUAGGUGAGCGGGCCGACGAUGCUGA